GACGAACGCUGGCGGCGUGCUUAACACAUGCAAGUCGAACGGAAAGGCCCUGCUUUUGUGGGGUGCUCGAGUGGCGAACGGGUGAGUAACACGUGAGUAACCUGCCCUUGACUUUGGGAUAACUUCAGGAAACUGGGGCUAAUACCGGAUAGGAGCUCCUGCUGCAUGGUGGGGGUUGGAAAGUUUCGGCGGUUGGGGAUGGACUCGCGGCUUAUCAGCUUGUUGGUGGGGUAGUGGCUUACCAAGGCUUUGACGGGUAGCCGGCCUGAGAGGGUGACCGGCCACAUUGGGACUGGGAAACGGCCCAGACUCCUACGGGAGGCAGCAGUGGGGAAUAUUGCACGAUGGGCGGAAGCCUGAUGCAGCAACGCCGCGUGCGGGAUGACGGCCUUCGGGUUGUAAACCGCUUUCGCCUGUGACGAAGCGUGAGUGACGGUAAUGGGUAAAGAAGCACCGGCUAACUACGUG
RNAcentral lists this ribosomal RNA (468 nucleotides) under uncultured bacterium. RNAcentral describes it as "partial 16S ribosomal RNA". It matches the Rfam family "Bacterial small subunit ribosomal RNA", at positions 28 to 507 of the family's 1533-position model. The record is from RNAcentral.